Molecule: ribosomal RNA, 375 nt
Filed under: uncultured organism
Description: partial 16S ribosomal RNA
Rfam family: Bacterial small subunit ribosomal RNA
Source: RNAcentral
GUAGGUGGCAAGCGUUGUCCGGAAUUAUUGGGCGUAAAGCGCGCGCAGGUGGUUCGUUUAAGUCUGAUGUGAAAGACCCCCGGGCUCAACCGGGGAGGGUCAUUGGAAACUGGGGAACUUGAGUGCAGGAGAGGAAAGUGGAAUUACACGUGUAGCGGUGAAAUGCGUAGAUAUGUGGAGGAACACCAGUGGCGAAGGCGACUUUCUGGCCUGUAACUGACACUGAGGCGCGAAAGCGUGGGGAGCAAACAGGAUUAGAUACCCUGGUAGUCCACGCCGUAAACGAUGAGUGCUAAGUGUUGGGGGGUUUCCGCCCCUCAGUGCUGCAGCUAACGCAUUAAGCACUCCGCCUGGGGAGUACGGUCGCAAAGACUG